AGAAAUUUCAACUUGAAGGACACCUCGAUGAAAGAUACAAUAAACAUUCCCUUGGAAACAAAAAAAAAAGGGGAGAUUUUCUUCAGCCAAGGGUGUAAAGAAUCUAAAAGGUAUUUGGCUUGAAGAAUGCUAAAUGUACUGGUAAUCUAAACUCUUCUCUUGUGAGUUAGUUGAGCAAAAUCAAUAGUCUGAAAUUAUAUGGUAGCAUGAUUAAACCUUUAAUUGCUGAUCAUCUUGAUAUCAUGCUUCAUUCUCAUGCUAGUAAUAAUUGUUUCAUGGUGUGAUUAAAUUGAAGUUUACCUUUUCCUAUAUAAUGCAUAACCAUGAAAUACACAAGUUUAUGCCUCAAAUCUCUAAUUCAAAAUAACUUGUGAUAAGCUAUGAAUCAUUGAGCAUAAUGAAAAUGCUGUU
Molecule: long non-coding RNA, 411 nt
Filed under: Phoenix dactylifera (date palm)
Lineage: Eukaryota; Viridiplantae; Streptophyta; Magnoliopsida; Arecales; Arecaceae
Description: long non-coding RNA (PDAC_LNC022854)
Source: RNAcentral